This 175-nucleotide ribosomal RNA is filed under the name uncultured Allobrachymonas sp. Its description in RNAcentral is "uncultured Brachymonas sp. partial 16S ribosomal RNA". It matches the Rfam family "Bacterial small subunit ribosomal RNA", at positions 1210 to 1382 of the family's 1533-position model. Lineage: Bacteria; Pseudomonadati; Pseudomonadota; Betaproteobacteria; Burkholderiales; Comamonadaceae. The record is from RNAcentral.
UGGGCUACACACGUCAUACAAUGGCCGGUACAGGAGGGUAGCCCAACCCGCGAGGGGGAGCCAAUCCCACAAAGCCGGUCGUAGUCCGGAUCGCAGUCUGCAACUCGACUGCGUGAAGUCGGAAUCGCUAGUAAUCGCAGAUCAGCAUGCUGCGGUGAAUACGUUCCCGGGCCUU